UACGUAGGGGGCGAGCGUUGUCCGGAAUUACUGGGCGUAAAGGGUUCGCAGGCGGCAUGGCAAGUCCGAUGUAAAAGGCGAAAGCUCAACUUUCGUAAGCAUCGGAAACUGUCAAGCUUGAGUGCAGGAGAGAAAAGUGGAAUUCCUAGUGUAGCGGUGAAAUGCGUAGAGAUUAGGAGGAACACCAGUGGCGAAGGCGGCUUUUUGGCCUGCAACUGACACUGAGGCGCGAAAGCGUGGGGAGCAAACAGG
This 252-nucleotide ribosomal RNA is filed under the name uncultured bacterium. Its description in RNAcentral is "partial 16S ribosomal RNA". It matches the Rfam family "Bacterial small subunit ribosomal RNA", at positions 524 to 776 of the family's 1533-position model. The record is from RNAcentral.